Molecule: ribosomal RNA, 403 nt
Filed under: bacterium
Lineage: Bacteria
Description: partial 16S ribosomal RNA
Rfam family: Bacterial small subunit ribosomal RNA
Source: RNAcentral
UGGGGGAAUUUUGCACAAUGGGGGAAACCCUGAUGCAGCGACGCCGCGUGAUUUAGAAGGCCUUCGGGUUGUAAAAAUCUUUUCUAUGGGAAGAAAAUGACAGUACCAUAGGAAUAAGGACCGGCUAAUUACGUGCCAGCAGCCGCGGUAAUACGUAAGGUCCGAGCGUUGUCCGGAAUCAUUGGGCGUAAAGGGUACGUAGGCGGGUAAGCAAGUUAGAAGUGAAAUCCUAUAGCUCAACUAUAGUAAGCUUUUAAAACUGCUCAUCUUGAGGUAUGGAAGGGAAAGUGGAAUUCCUAGUGUAGCGGUGAAAUGCGCAGAUAUUAGGAGGAAUACCGGUGGCGAAGGCGACUUUCUGGCCAUAACCUGACGCUGAGGUACGAAAGCGUGGGUAGCAAACAGG